UGGGGAAUUUUGGACAAUGGGCGAAAGCCUGAUCCAGCCAUGCCGCGUGCAGGAUGAAGGCCUUCGGGUUGUAAACUGCUUUUGUACGGAACGAAAAGACUCUGGUUAAUACCUGGGGUCCAUGACGGUACCGUAAGAAUAAGCACCGGCUAACUACGUGCCAGCAGCCGCGGUAAUACGUAGGGUGCAAGCGUUAAUCGGAAUUACUGGGCGUAAAGCGUGCGCAGGCGGUUAUAUAAGACAGAUGUGAAAUCCCCGGGCUCAACCUGGGAACUGCAUUUGUGACUGUAUAGCUAGAGUACGGCAGAGGGGGAUGGAAUUCCGCGUGUAGCAGUGAAAUGCGUAGAUAUGCGGAGGAACACCGAUGGCGAAGGCAAUCCCCUGGGCCUGUACUGACGCUCAUGCACGAAAGCGUGGGGAGCAAACAGGAUUAGAUACCCUGGUAGUCCACGCCCUAAACGAUGUCAACUGGUUGUUGGGGUCUUUCACUGACUCAGUAACGAAGCUAACGCGUGAAGUUGACCGCCUGGGGAGUACGGCCGCAAGGUUGAAACUUAAAGGAAUUGACGGGGUCAUAGCUG
This 581-nucleotide ribosomal RNA is filed under the name uncultured bacterium. Its description in RNAcentral is "partial 16S ribosomal RNA". It matches the Rfam family "Bacterial small subunit ribosomal RNA", at positions 355 to 932 of the family's 1533-position model. The record is from RNAcentral.